GACGAACGCUGGCGGCGUGCUUAACACAUGCAAGUCGAGCGGAAAGGCCCUUCGGGGUACUCGAGCGGCGAACGGGUGAGUAACACGUGAGUAACCUGCCCCAGACUUUGGGAUAACCCUCGGAAACGGGGGCUAAUACCGGAUACGACACAGCUUCGCAUGGGGUCUGUGUGGAAAGUUUUUCGGUUUGGGAUGGGCUCGCGGCCUAUCAGCUUGUUGGUGGGGUGAUGGCCUACCAAGGCGACGACGGGUAGCCGGCCUGAGAGGGCGACCGGCCACCCUGGGACUGCGGCACGGACCAGACUCCUACGGGCGGCAGCAGUGGGGAAUAUUGCACAAUGGGCGGAAGCCUGAUGCAGCGACGCCGCGUGAGGGAUGACGGCCUUCGGGUUGUAAACCUCUUUCAGCAGGGACGAAGCGUAAGUGACGGUACCUGCAGAAGAAGCGCCGGCCAACUACGUG
This 462-nucleotide ribosomal RNA is filed under the name uncultured bacterium. RNAcentral's name for it is "partial 16S ribosomal RNA". It matches the Rfam family "Bacterial small subunit ribosomal RNA", at positions 28 to 507 of the family's 1533-position model. The record is from RNAcentral.